AGCGAACGUUUGCGGCGGGCUUAACACAUGCAAGUCGAACGGGCUGUUCCUUCGGGGCAGUCAGUGGCGCACGGGUGCGUAACACGUAGGUAAUCAACCCUCUGGUUGGGGAUAACACUUCGAAAGGAGUGCUAAUACCCGGUAUGGCGCAGCGGUCUUCGGAUCGCGGCGAGGAAGACCCGCAAGGGUUGCCAGAGGACGAGCCUGCGGCCCAUCAGCUAGUUGGCGAGGUAACGGCUCACCAAGGCGAAGACGGGUAGCUGGUCUGAGAGGAUGAUCAGCCACACUGGAACUGAGACACGGUCCAGACUCCUACGGGAGGCAGCAGUGGGGAAUAUUGCGCAAUGGGCGAAAGCCUGACGCAGCCACGCCGCGUGAGCGAUGAAGGCCUGGUCGUAAGACGUCUGUGGGAGGAGAAGAAGUAAAGACCUGUGAAGAGACAGGCCUUGACGGUAGUCUCCUUA
RNAcentral lists this ribosomal RNA (464 nucleotides) under uncultured bacterium. RNAcentral's name for it is "bacterial SSU rRNA". It matches the Rfam family "Bacterial small subunit ribosomal RNA", at positions 29 to 486 of the family's 1533-position model. The record is from RNAcentral.